RNAcentral lists this ribosomal RNA (116 nucleotides) under Cebus imitator (Panamanian white-faced capuchin). The record is from RNAcentral. Lineage: Eukaryota; Metazoa; Chordata; Mammalia; Primates; Cebidae.
GUUUAAAGCCAUAACUCCCCAAAUACACCUCAUCUGAUCUUGGAAGCUAAGCAGGGUCUUUGGCUUGGUUAAUACUUUAAUGGGACACUGCCUGGGAAUUCAGGAUGCUUUAAAAA